GGAACUGUAUCAAAUGCCUUGGCAAAAUCCAAAUAGAUCACAUCCACUGCAACACCCUGAUCUAUACUUCUACUUACUUCUUCGUAGAACGCAAUCAAGUUAGUUUGACAUGACCUGUGCUUCAUAAAACCAUGCUGAUUUUUGCUGAUAACCAUGUUCUUCUCAAGUAAUUCUUGAAUAUUAUCCCUUAAUAAACUUUCAAAUAUUUUACCAGCCACAGAAGUUAAG
Molecule: non-coding RNA, 228 nt
Organism: Pelobates cultripes (western spadefoot toad)
Lineage: Eukaryota; Metazoa; Chordata; Amphibia; Anura; Pelobatidae
Source: the annotation of a GenBank genome assembly